GACGAACGCUGGCGGCGUGCUUAACACAUGCAAGUCGAACGGAAAGGCCCUGCUUUUGUGGGGUGCUCGAGUGGCGAACGGGUGAGUAACACGUGAGUAACCUGCCCUUGACUUUGGGAUAACUUCAGGAAACUGGGGCUAAUACCGGAUAGGAGCUCCUGCUGCAUGGUGGGGGUUGGAAAGUUUCGGCGGUUGGGGAUGGACUCGCGGCUUAUCAGCUUGUUGGUGGGGUAGUGGCUUACCAAGGCUUUGACGGGUAGCCGGCCUGAGAGGGUGACCGGGGACAUGGGGACUGAGAUACGGACCAGACUGCUACGGGAGGCAGCAGUGGGGAAUAUUGCACAAUGGGCGGAAGCCAGAUGCAGCAACGCCGCGUGCGGGAUGACGGCCUUCGGGUUGUAAACCGCUGUCGCCUGUGACGAAGCGUGAGUGACGGUAAUGGGUAAAGAAGCACCGGCUAACUACGUG
RNAcentral lists this ribosomal RNA (468 nucleotides) under uncultured bacterium. RNAcentral's name for it is "partial 16S ribosomal RNA". It matches the Rfam family "Bacterial small subunit ribosomal RNA", at positions 28 to 507 of the family's 1533-position model. The record is from RNAcentral.